This 494-nucleotide ribosomal RNA is filed under the name uncultured bacterium. Its description in RNAcentral is "partial 16S ribosomal RNA". It matches the Rfam family "Bacterial small subunit ribosomal RNA", at positions 28 to 507 of the family's 1533-position model. The record is from RNAcentral.
GACGAACGCUGGCGGCGCGCUUAACACAUGCAAGUCGAACGGAAAGGCCUGCUUUCCCUUGUGGAUUGCGGGUACUCGAGUGGCGAACGGGUGAGUAACACGUGAGUGAUCUGCCCCCAACUUGGGUAUAAGCCUGGGAAACUGGGUCUAAUUCCCGAUAGGACUGCAGGGUGGUGCCUGUGGUGGAAAACGAUUUUCUAGUGGUUGGGGAUGAGCUCGCGGCCUAUCAGCUUGUUGGUGGGGUAAUGGCCUACCAAGGCGGCGACGGGUAGCCGGCCUGAGAGGGUGGACGGCCACAUUGGGACUGAGAUACGGCCCAGACUCCUACGGGAGGCAGCAGUGGGGAAUAUUGCACAAUGGGCGGAAGCCUGAUGCAGCGACGCCGCGUGGGGGAUGUCGGCCUUCGGGUUGUAAACUCCUUUCGACCGCGAGGAAGCCACCUGGUUGGAAGGGUGGUGACGGUAGUGGUAGAAGAAGCACCGGCUAACUACGUG